This 481-nucleotide long non-coding RNA is filed under the name Trifolium pratense (red clover). Its description in RNAcentral is "long non-coding RNA (TPRA_LNC001829)". Lineage: Eukaryota; Viridiplantae; Streptophyta; Magnoliopsida; Fabales; Fabaceae. The record is from RNAcentral.
AAAAAAUAAAAUGGUAAUAGGUAGUAAUAUUGGGGGGGGUUUAAAUAGCAACAAUAGUGGCCCAGCAACAUUUAUGGCCCAACAAAACAUAAGUAGACAAAAAAAUAAUCAUAAUUAGAUAAAAAAAAACAAAAACAUAUUUCAUAAUUAGAUAAAAAAAAAACAAAAAUAUAUUUCAUAAUUAGAUCAACAAAAAAAAAAUAUAUGUAUAUAUAUUUUUUAAAAAAAAAACAUAAUUAGAAAAGGGGUAAAUUGCGUCUAAACACUUUCUCUUUCACCCCUUCUUCACCCUUGAUCAACUUCAGCGAUUUCACUUCCUCAUCCUCCGAUUCCUCCCUUCACCGAAUCACCAAUUUCGUCACCGCACCGUGAAACUAAAGGGGAAUUUUUCGUCCUCCCUUCUUCUCUCUUUCUCGAUCUCUCUCAUUAAUGAAACUAAAGGGGAAAAUCAUAACCCUAAGAAAAAAAAUCAAAAUUCAAG